Daucus carota subsp. sativus is the source of this 90-nucleotide non-coding RNA. Lineage: Eukaryota; Viridiplantae; Streptophyta; Magnoliopsida; Apiales; Apiaceae. The record is from Rfam.
GGAUCAAAUGAUGAGAAAAAAACUGCAACAAAAUGACAGUGAGAUAUAUAUUCAGUUGUGAUUACUUUCGUAUUUAAGUCUCUGAUAAUC